AUUGAACGCUGGCGGCAGGCCUAACACAUGCAAGUCGAACGAGCGGCGGACGGGUGAGUAAUGUCUGGGAAACUGCCUGAUGGAGGGGGAUAACUACUGGAAACGGUAGCUAAUACCGCAUACCAUCAGAUGUGCCCAGAUGGGAUUAGCUAGUUGGUGGGGUAAGGGCUCACCAAGGCGAAGAUCCCUAGCUGGUCUGAGAGGAUGACCAGCCACAGUGGAACUGAGACACGGUCCAGACUCCUACGGGAGGCAGCAGUGGGGAAUAUUGCACAGUGGGCGCAAGCCUGAUGCAGCCAUGCCGCGUGUGUGAAGAAGGCCUUCGGGUUGUAAAGUACUUUCAGCGGGGAGGCGUUACUCGCAGAAGAAGCACCGGCUAACUCCGUGCCAGCAGCCGCGGUAAUUC
This 406-nucleotide ribosomal RNA is filed under the name uncultured bacterium. RNAcentral's name for it is "partial 16S ribosomal RNA". It matches the Rfam family "Bacterial small subunit ribosomal RNA", at positions 30 to 526 of the family's 1533-position model. The record is from RNAcentral.